CAGCCGCCGCGGUAAUACGAAGGGGGCUAGCGUUGUUCGGAAUUACUGGGCGUAAAGGGCGCGUAGGCGGCCAUUCAAGUUAGAUGUGAAAGCCCUGGGCUCAACCUAGGAAUUGCAUUUGAUACUGUUUGGCUUGAGUUCGGGAGAGGGAAGCGGAAUUCCCAGUGUAGCGGUGAAAUGCGUAGAUAUUGGGAGGAACACCAGUGGCGAAGGCGGCUCACUGGACGACUGUUGACGCUGAGGUGCGAAAGCGUGGGGAGCAAACAGGAUUAGAUACCCGGGUAGUCCCUGUCUCUUAUAC
Molecule: ribosomal RNA, 301 nt
Filed under: uncultured bacterium
Lineage: Bacteria
Description: partial 16S ribosomal RNA
Rfam family: Bacterial small subunit ribosomal RNA
Source: RNAcentral